Non-coding RNA from Vicugna pacos (alpaca), 1763 nucleotides. The record is from RefSeq and is a predicted model, not a curated record. NCBI's taxonomy places the organism in Eukaryota, Metazoa, Chordata, Mammalia, Artiodactyla, Camelidae.
AUGCCACCUUGAAAACACUCACAAGGUCAGCUUCAUCUGUGCCCUCAUCGCCCGUCUAAGGAAACACAGCAUUUGAGAGUAUGGAUUUUCCCACAACCCUGAUUAAAUGACGGUCGGAUCUGUAGAAGUAGAAGUUGACCUUUGCUCAGCCCAUCACAGUUUACAAAGAAACUUCACACAAAUUAUCUGUGAGCUGGGGGUGGCGAACCUCCCCGCUGGAAGAGGAAGGAAAUCAGCCAUGGGGAGGCCAAGUGACUUGCCCCAGAUCCACGGGUCAUAGAUUUGCUUACUCCAAGUCUUUGGGGAAGGACCUGCCCCCGAUCCCACCCUGAGAACCCUAGCCUUGAGGAUGAGUCCUGUCACCAGUGGAUGCUUUGUGAAUGGUUACCUUUGAUGAUAGGUGUGACAGAGAUGGCUAACUGACCACUUAGAUUUGAGCUCCUCUCCCAUAGUAGAGUCAUUGCUGGGGAGGGACUGCCCCGCCAUCGACUUCACACGUCCGGCCCCCUUGGACCUGGGAAGGGCCAUGCAAUUAGUUCUGACAGGAGUGAAAUGCCAGGAGAUGUGAAAUAUGUCACUUUGGGAUCAGGGUGGCUCUGGGGCUGGUGUGCUAUCACCAUGAACUCUCUCUCUCUCUUUGAUGGUGACCUUGGAUCCCAAGUGUUGAGAUGCUGGUUUCAUAAGAAGGAGGUGAAAUGCCUCAUCGGGAACAUCUGUGUUGGAUUUUGCAUGAACAAACACUUUUCAAAAAUCAAAUAAAAAUAAACUUUUAUGUGUGUAGCCCCUGAGGCUUGGGGAUGGUUGGUUACAGCAGUUUAUAUUGGGGUAAGACCCACACAAAUACAACAUGGGAUGCUGUUUUUCUGUUUGGGCUAAUGGCUUAAGUUCCAUAAGAAUAAAUUUAUUUAAAUAAGAAAAUGAGCAUCUUUAAGGAAUAACAUGACAUGAACAACAGUACGAUGGUACACACAUAAGACAAAUAGUGGUUCUUAAAUGGCCAAGUUUGGGAAGCACUGACUUGUCGCCAGCACCAGUGAUUGUGUGUCAAUUCUAAGGAAAUGGAAGAGAAUGAAAGAUAGAGAAUUUCAUGAAGAAAAAAGCAGUAAAUAGGGUGAAAUAUUUGGGGGGUUUCUGUAGUGGAAAAUGCUGAUGUUGCAAGGUCAGGGGGAUGUUUCAGUAGAAUGGGGAGAGUUAAUCUCAGGAUGCAGCAGUGGGAUCCCAUAGCCCACGAGAUUUACACAUCAGUAGUUUAUAGGGUAGAUGUGACCCUGAGAAGUGUUUGGUUGGGCCCGCACAGUGGCUUUUCUUUUUCCAAUAUAUUAAAUUAAAAUUAGAAGAUUUUACAUAAAAAUCAGAAUUCCUGGUUUCUCUUGAAAAAUCAAAUGAUCUGGCCACCCGGGGCCGGCAUUCCCACCCGGCAGCCUUCAAGCUGGAGCUGGGUGGCAAAUGUCACCUUGGAAGGGGAGUGUGUCCACAGUCCCUGCCACUCCUCAUUGUCUCCUGGAUCCUGAGCCCAAGUCACAGAGACCAUUUUGCACCAGCACCAAGGCUUUGCUUUUGCAAGAGGACUAUUUCUCUAUACCCACCCCUCUCUCAGAAGAGACCAACAAACUAUUGAGAAUAAAAGGGUCAUGUGUUUCACAAAAAGCUGGAGAGAAAUAGACGCAGAAAGAUAGAAAACGGUAGUUACUGGGGCAGGGGUGCACAGGGAGGGGAGGGAGAGAUCAGGAGUUUGGGAUUAACAGAUACACAUUACUACUAUG